AGUUUGAUCCUGGCUCAGAGUGAACGCUGGCGGCGUGCCUAAUACAUGCAAGUCGAACGAUGAAGCUUCUAGCUUGCUAGAAUGCUGAUUAGUGGCGCACGGGUGAGUAACGCAUAGGUUAUGUGCCUCUUAGUUUGGGAUAGCCAUUGGAAACGAUGAUUAAUACCAGAUACUCCCUACGGGGGAAAGAUUUAUCGCUAAGAGAUCAGCCUAUGUCCUAUCAGCUUGUUGGUAAGGUAAUGGCUUACCAAGGCUAUGACGGGUAUCCGGCCUGAGAGGGUGAACGGACACACUGGAACUGAGACACGGUCCAGACUCCUACGGGAGGCAGCAGUAGGGAAUAUUGCUCAAUGGGGGAAACCCUGAAGCAGCAACGCCGCGUGGAGGAUGAAGGUUUUAGGAUUGUAAACUCCUUUUGUUAGAGAAGAUAAUGACGGUAUCUAACGAAUAAGCACCGGCUAACUCCGUGCCAGCAGCCGCGGUAAUACGGAGGGUGCAAGCGUUACUCGGAAUCACUGGGCGUAAAGAGCGCGUAGGCGGGAUAGUCAGUCAGGUGUGAAAUCCUAUGGCUUAACCAUAGAACUGCAUUUGAAACUACUAUUCUAGAGUGUGGGAGAGGUAGGUGGAAUUCUUGGUGUAGGGGUAAAAUCCGUAGAGAUCAAGAGGAAUACUCAUUGCGAAGGCGACCUGCUGGAACAUUACUGACGCUGAUUGCGCGAAAGCGUGGGGAGCAAACAGGAUUAGAUACCCUGGUAGUCCACGCCCUAAACGAUGGAUGCUAGUUGUUGGAGGGCUUAGUCUCUCCAGUAAUGCAGCUAACGCAUUAAGCAUCCCGCCUGGGGAGUACGGUCGCAAGAUUAAAACUCAAAGGAAUAGACGGGGACCCGCACAAGCGGUGGAGCAUGUGGUUUAAUUCGAAGAUACACGAAGAACCUUACCUAGGCUUGACAUUGAGAGAAUCCGCUAGAAAUAGUGGAGUGUCUGGCUUGCCAGACCUUGAAAACAGGUGCUGCACGGCUGUCGUCAGCUCGUGUCGUGAGAUGUUGGGUUAAGUCCCGCAACGAGCGCAACCCCCUUUCUUAGUUGCUAACAGGUCAUGCUGAGAACUCUAAGGAUACUGCCUCCGUAAGGAGGAGGAAGGUGGGGACGACGUCAAGUCAUCAUGGCCCUUACGCCUAGGGCUACACACGUGCUACAAUGGGGUGCACAAAGAGAAGCAAUACUGCGAAGUGGAGCCAAUCUUCAAAACACCUCUCAGUUCGGAUUGUAGGCUGCAACUCGCCUGCAUGAAGCUGGAAUCGCUAGUAAUCGCAAAUCAGCCAUGUUGCGGUGAAUACGUUCCCGGGUCUUGUACUCACCGCCCGUCACACCAUGGGAGUUGUGUUUGCCUUAAGUCAGGAUGCUAAAUUAGCUACUGCCCACGGCACACACAGCGACUGGGGUGAAGUCGUAACAAGGUAACCGUAGGUGAACCUGC
Molecule: ribosomal RNA, 1477 nt
Filed under: Helicobacter pylori
Lineage: Bacteria; Pseudomonadati; Campylobacterota; Epsilonproteobacteria; Campylobacterales; Helicobacteraceae
Description: bacterial SSU rRNA
Rfam family: Bacterial small subunit ribosomal RNA
Source: RNAcentral